GCCUGGGUAGCUCAGUUGGUUGAGCAUCUGACUCUUUUGAUUUCAGCUCAGAUCAUGAUCCCAGGGUCAUGGGAUCAAGCCCUGUGUCAGGCU
Molecule: transfer RNA, 93 nt
Filed under: Felis catus (domestic cat)
Lineage: Eukaryota; Metazoa; Chordata; Mammalia; Carnivora; Felidae
Rfam family: tRNA
About the family: Transfer RNA (tRNA) molecules are approximately 80 nucleotides in length.
Source: Rfam by way of RNAcentral